Molecule: ribosomal RNA, 422 nt
Filed under: Bacteroidota bacterium
Lineage: Bacteria; Pseudomonadati; Bacteroidota
Description: Bacteroidetes bacterium partial 16S ribosomal RNA
Rfam family: Bacterial small subunit ribosomal RNA
Source: RNAcentral
UGGGGAAUUUUGCACAAUGGGCGCAAGCCUGAUGCAGCGACGCCGCGUGAGGGAUGAAGGCCUUCGGGUUGUAAACCUUUUUCGCUCAUGGUCAAGCCGCAGCUUUGGGUUGUGGUGAGGGUAGUGGGUAAAGAAGCGCCGGCUAACUACGUGCCAGCAGCCGCGGUAAUACGUAGGGCGCGAGCGUUGUCCGGAAUUAUUGGGCGUAAAGGGCCUGUAGGCGGUUGGCCGCGUCUGCCGUGAAAUCCUCUGGCUUAACUGGGGGCGUGCGGUGGGUACGGGUUGACUUGAGUGCGGUAGGGGAGACUGGAAUUCCUGGUGUAGCGGUGGAAUGCGCAGAUAUCAGGAGGAACACCGGUGGCGAAGGCGGGUCUCUGGGCCGUUACUGACGCUGAGGAGCGAAAGCGUGGGGAGCGAACAGG